UCCCAGCUGGUCAUUAAUCCUC
RNAcentral lists this microRNA (22 nucleotides) under Sus scrofa (pig). RNAcentral's name for it is "ssc-mir22". Lineage: Eukaryota; Metazoa; Chordata; Mammalia; Artiodactyla; Suidae. The record is from RNAcentral.